This is a long non-coding RNA of Panicum virgatum (switchgrass), 1019 nucleotides long. RefSeq lists it as uncharacterized. The record is from RefSeq and is a predicted model, not a curated record. Lineage: Eukaryota; Viridiplantae; Streptophyta; Magnoliopsida; Poales; Poaceae. The transcript is spliced from 2 exons.
GUACUCAGCACAGGAGCCGGCAUGGAGCCUCGCCGUCGGGCCUAUGCCCGAUUCCCACGCCGCUGAUGCCAGGUCGUGCUUCUGCCCUCACCCCCGACCUUAUCCUCUCUGGGCGGCCUCGUUCCCCUUCCCCUCCUUUCUUCCUGCUCCUGCUCGAAUCGAGCCGAGCAGAGGCGCAGCUGCCGGCGCCCCAGCCACCCCGGUCGCACCUCCCUCCGAUCCCGCGCGCCUAAGGCCUCCCUACCUCGUCCUGUACCUCCGGCCGCUGUUUCCCUAGCUAGCCAAGGGCUACCUUGGCCGAAUCGGCCCCCACUCUGACCGGCCGCCAUGGAAGCCCCGCUCGAAGCUCCGGGUCCCCGUCGAUCCGAACCCUCCAGUCCUCCUCCGCCCGAAUCGAGGUCGUGGUGAGCUCCCCCACAUCCCCCUCGACCUCCCCAGCCCAUUCACCGACCGCCACAAACCACUCCCUCACCGGAAACCGAGCUACAGCACCACCUCCACCACUGCUCCGCCGCCAGCCCCCCUCCCGACCACCUCCCGCCCUAGCUAUUGUUUCAAAUUGGUCGCAGGCGAGCCCCUCGUGCUUCCCCACCACUCCUCGGCCGCCGGCAUGGGCUCCUCUCGCCAGAACCGAGCUCCCUGAGUGCCUCCUCUACUCCCAGUUCGCGUGAAGGACCCCGUGCAGAAAUUCAAGGAAGUCCAGGGGCUUUUAUGCAUUGUCAUAGACUCAGAUACGCUAGAUGGACAACGCGUGGACAUGAAGCACGUAAUGACGGAACCAAACUCCAAGAUGGCGUUGGUGGACGUAUCCUGAAGAGAGAAGGACCAGCUAGAGCAACUGAAGACCCGGCCCAAGGUCAGAAGGGCCCAAGGCCUUGCUAGUAUUAACACUGACUUAGUGUUACCCAAGCAAGUCCCGGAGCAUAUCCCUUACUUUUAAUUAUAUCAUGUUAUAUCUAAAGCAUUGUGCAUUUACGUUCAAGGAGUUGAUUGGAACCAUAGAUGCAUAAUCUCUUUUA